Ipomoea triloba (trilobed morning glory) is the source of this 985-nucleotide long non-coding RNA. RefSeq lists it as uncharacterized. The record is from RefSeq and is a predicted model, not a curated record. Lineage: Eukaryota; Viridiplantae; Streptophyta; Magnoliopsida; Solanales; Convolvulaceae. The transcript has 6 exons.
AUCAAUCUCUGCCCGCAUUUCCUCGCCAUUUCCUCACCACACCAUUUCCACAACUAACAGAUCAGAUCUCUGCACGUAGCCACACCACCAUCCACCUUCUCCGCCUUCCACCGUCGCAGCCGCUGCCGCCGCCAUUGCAUCCUCCGCGACUGCGCCUCCCCCUAGCUGUCGUCCCAGCCACUGCCUCCGCCGCUGCGUCUUCCUCCGCAAAUCUGCCGCUGCAGCCACCACAGCCGCUGACAUCGCGACCGCCACAACCUUCAGUUUUUGACGCCACCGUUUCGAUCUGCACCACCGCGACCAACGCCACCUCCACCGCGACCAACGCCGCCUCCACCGUGAUGGCCCCGAAGAUAUAGAUCUGGAACCGACAUUACUUUGUGACAGCAGGGAAGUCUUGGUUUGUAGGUGGAUUUGAGGAGUUAACAACCGCUGAUAAUAAGCCAUAUAUAUGGAUUUAAAAGUUUUAAACAGACUUUGGAAAUGCCAAAACUGUUAGGAACAACAACUCAAGGAAAGAGAGAAAUAUAAGCUAGGAAAUCCCAAGUCAUUCCAUUAUCUUAAUCAACCCAACUGUUAUGAGCUUGAUGGAGUGAAUGAUGGCGAAGAAUAACUUGCAACAAGAAGGGCUAUGGAUAUAGUUGGAAUUAGCGAGGAAGGACAGGUUAGGAGGCAAUUUUCAGGGUUGUUGCUGCAAUUCUUCAUCUUGGUAAUAUUGAAUUUGCAAAAGGGCAAGAGAUUGACUCCUCUGUGAUUAAGGAUGAAAAAUCUAGGUUUCAUCUUAAUACCACAGCUGAUUUGCUCAAGUGUGAUGCCAAGAGCCUGGAAGGAUGCACUAAUUAAGCGUAUGAUGGUCACACCUGAGGAAGUUAUUACAAGGACUCUUGAUCCUCUACAACAACAUUUUAAUCAGCAUGUAUUUAAAAUGGAACAAGAAGAGUAUGAAAAAGAAGAGAUAAACUGGAGCUACAUAGAGUUUGUUGAU